This 24-nucleotide non-coding RNA is filed under the name Rattus norvegicus (Norway rat). Lineage: Eukaryota; Metazoa; Chordata; Mammalia; Rodentia; Muridae. The record is from RNAcentral.
UAAGAGCAGCUUUAAUCCAAAUUC